CGGCAAGCCGUUCUUGACUCA
Molecule: microRNA, 21 nt
Filed under: Corchorus capsularis
Lineage: Eukaryota; Viridiplantae; Streptophyta; Magnoliopsida; Malvales; Malvaceae
Description: sRNA CCACVL1_17300
Source: RNAcentral